UUAGCCGUAAGUGAACCUGCGGAAGGAUCAUUAUAGAAAUACAGCUGUUGCUGGCCUUCUCGGCACGUGCACGCUUGUCAUCUUUUUAUCUCUCCAAACUGUGCACAUAUUGUAGACCCUGGGAUUCAUUUCGAGUUGGGAUGCAGGGUCUAUGUCAUCUUUCACAACCUCUUUUGCAUGUUUUAGAAUGUUAAAAAGUUAUAAAAUAUACAACUUUCAGCAACGGAUCUCUUGGCUCUCGCAUCGAUGAAGAACGCAGCGAAAUGCGAUAAGUAAUGUGAAUUGCAGAAUUCAGUGAAUCAUCGAAUCUUUGAACGCAUCUUGCGCUCCUUGGUAUUCCGAGGAGCAUGCCUGUUUGAGUGUCAUUUAAAAGUUCUCAACCGCAUCUCGUGGCUUGGACAUGGAGGUUUUUUGCAGGCUUCCCUGGUUGAGGUCUGCUCCUCUGAAACGCAUUAGUGGUAUCUGAGCAACUAUGGGCAUGUGAUAACUAUCUUAUGGCCCCUUUGCAUGAACAGAUUGGACUGCUUCCAACCCACCCCACAUUUUGAUGAAUUUGACCUCAAAUCAGGUAGGACUACCCGCUGAACUUAAGCAUAUCAAUAAGC
Molecule: ribosomal RNA, 605 nt
Filed under: uncultured Cortinariaceae
Lineage: Eukaryota; Fungi; Basidiomycota; Agaricomycetes; Agaricales; Cortinariaceae
Description: eukaryotic LSU rRNA
Rfam family: 5.8S ribosomal RNA (bases 212-365)
Source: RNAcentral